CUACGGGGGGCAGCAGUCGAGAAUCUUCCGCAAUGGGCGCAAGCCUGACGGAGCAAUGCCGCGUGAGGGAUGACGGCCCUAGGGUUGUAAACCUCUGUCAGAAGGGACGAAGAACGUGACGGUACCUUCAGAGGAAGCCAUGGCUAACUACGUGCCAGCAGCCGCGGUAAUGCGUAGAUGGCGAGCGUUAUUCGGAUUUACGGGGCGUAAAGGGUCCGUAGGGGGUCUGCCAAGUCUGAUGUGAAAUCCUGCGGCUCAACCGCGGAACUGCAUUGGAAACUGGCGGACUAGAGUGUGCGGAGGGGUGAGCGGAAUUCCUGGUGUAGCGGUGGAAUGCGUAGAUAUCAGGAAGAACACCGAUGGCGAAGGCGGCUCACUGGCGCAUCACUGACCCUGAGGGACGAAAGCGUGGGUAGCAAACAGGAUUAGAUACCCUAGUAGUC
This 443-nucleotide ribosomal RNA is filed under the name uncultured bacterium. RNAcentral's name for it is "partial 16S ribosomal RNA". It matches the Rfam family "Bacterial small subunit ribosomal RNA", at positions 339 to 795 of the family's 1533-position model. The record is from RNAcentral.